RNAcentral lists this ribosomal RNA (363 nucleotides) under uncultured eukaryote. Its description in RNAcentral is "partial 18S ribosomal RNA". It matches the Rfam family "Eukaryotic small subunit ribosomal RNA", at positions 592 to 976 of the family's 1831-position model. The record is from RNAcentral.
CAAUAGCGUAUACUAAUGUUGUUGCAGUUAAAAAGCUCGUAGUUGAACUUCUGGUAGGAGUGUCCCGGCCUUUUUGUUUUUACAAAUUGUAUGCUGUGUGACAUCUCUGGCCAUCCUUCUUCUUUGUUUAAAGAAGAUCUUUCACUGUAAAAAAAUUAGGGUGUUCAAAGCAAAAGUUUCUUUGGAAUAUAUUAGUAUGGGAUGAUAAGAUAGGCUCUAGAUGCUAUUUUGUUGGUUUGCACAUUUAGAGAAUGAUUAACGGGGACAGUUGGGGGUAUUCGUAUUUACAUGUCAGAGGUGAAAUUCUUGGAUUUUGGAAAGACGAACUACUGCGAAAGCAUUUACCAAGGAUGUUUUCAUUAA